CAUUAUUGUACACUUACUGGGAAAAUUAUUUGUAGUAGCAACAUGACACUUGCUGCAAAGUUACAGUUUUCAUAUAAAAAUGGACAAGGAAAAUUCAGGAAAGGAAAUUAGAAACCAAUCUCAUGAGUAUAAAGAUAAAAUGCUGACAAAUUUAGCAGUUCACUAAAUAAUAUGCAACAGACAAGAAGGAUUUAUUCUGGAAGUGUGAGAAAUAAAAAUUUCUUUAAAAACACACCACUCAUUUGCUCAAAAAUUUCCAAUGACAAAAUACAAAGCUCUGUCCUGAGGAUCUUUGUACCUCUGAUUCCUUCAGCCUCCCAUAGGCUUUCUUAGACCUUUUUACACCUAAAUGAGGCCUCCUCUCAUUGAACCAUUUAUUAUUUAGAAACACUCCCUAUCUCCUUUCUCCACUUUUUUUUUCCCCUCAGAGAACUUACCAUGACCUAUUAUGUAUUUUAUUUUCUGCCUCCCCAAUGAGAUUUGUUUUUGGGGGGGCGGAGGGAUUGAACUCAGGGAUGCUCUACCACUAAGCUACAUCCCUAGCUGUUUUUACUUUUUAUUUUGAGACAGUACUGAGGCUGGCCUCAAACUUGUGAUCUUCUGCCUUAGCCUCCUGAGUCCUGGGGGCUUCACCACCCCUAACCUCCAGCUAGAAUUUAAGCUUCAUUAAGAUGGGUUUUUUCCCCUUUUUUUCUUUUUUGGUACCAGAGGGUUUCGUUUUUGAACCCAGAGGCUCUUAACCACUAAGCCGCAUCCCCAGCUCUUUUUAUUUAUUUGUUUUAUUUUGAGUCAGGGUCUCACCAAGUUGUUAAGGGACUUGCUAAGUUUCUGAGGCUGACUUUGAACUUUCAGUCCUCUCGCCUCAGUCUCUCAACCUGUUGGGAUUACAGGCAUAUAAUGCACCUGCACCUGGCAGGUGGGGAUCUUUUUCUCUUUGUUUCCUGCUGUUUUUCCCAAGUCUAGAACAGUGCUCAGCACAUUGUAGGCACUCAACAAAUAUUUAUUGAAUAAAUAAAUGAAUGGCUAGUUCAAAAGUAGAAGCCUCAUCAACAGAUUAAUAAAAGCAAAAUUAUGAUAAUUUCAAAUCAUAUACAGAAAAAUUUGACAAUAUUGUUCAUAAGAACUCUUAGAAAACAAUAAAACAGAAGAUAACAGAAGAGAGUUUUGACUUGCUAGUGAUCAGACAUAUAGAGCUGUCAUACUUGAUGAUGGAACUUGAACAUUCUGUGAAGUGAGAAUCAAGGCCAGAAAGUUCCUCCUGUCUACCUAUUCAGCAUAAAGUCUAAGAGAUAUAAAUAUAAGGAAGUAAAAACAUAGCUAUCAUAUUUGCUGAGGAAGUCUACAUUGAAUAUUCAAGAGGGUCUACCAGCUAUUAAAACUACUAGAAAGUUCAGCAAGCUAUUGCUUAAAGAUCAAUCUUCUUACACACUUGUGGUAGUAGCUGGCAAUAAUGCAUGUAAUAGGAAAAGUGAUCUAAUUUAUAAUAACCUAAACAUAUGUCUAUUUAGAAAUUAAAAGAUGUUAGCUCUACAUGGAGAAAAUUACAGAAUAUUAUCAAGGGACAAAAAGGACCUGACUAAAUGGAGAUAUAUUUAUAGAUGAGAAGAAAUAACAUAUGACAAAAUGUCUAUUCUGUUCACAUUAAUCUAUAAAUUAAAUUGUAUGCCUGGGACUGGAGUGUUGCUCUGUGGUAGACUAUGUACUUAUCAUACCUGAGAUUCUAGGUUCAAAACCUAGCACAUGCACACCCAUGGGUAUUCUUUUUUUUUUAUUUUUAAAGAGAGAGUGAGAGAGAGAGAGAGAUUUUUUUUUUUUUUUUUUAAAGAGAGAGUGAGAGAGAGAAAGAAAGAGAGAGAGAGAAUUUUUCAACGUUUAUUUUUCAGUUCUCGGCGGACACAACAUCUUUGUUGGUAUGUGGUGCUGAGGCUCGAACCCGGGCCGCGCGCAUGCCAGGCGAGCGCGCUACCGCCUGAGCCACAUCCCCAGCCCCGAGAGAGAGAUUUUUAAUAUUUAUUUAUUUUUUUAGUUUUCGGCGGACACAACAUCUAGUUUGUAUGUGGUGCUGAGGAUCGAAACUGGGCCGCACGCAUGCCAGGCGAGCGCGCUACUGCUUGAGCCACAUCCCCAGCCCCAACAUGGGUAUUCUUAAUGAUUUUGCCUAGAAUUUGAAAGUUUAACCCAAAAUUCAUGUGAAAAGACAAAAAGCCCAGAAUGGUUAAAAGGCAACUCUUUUAUUUUUUUGUGGGGGAUACUGAGAAUUGAAUCCAGGGGCACUCUACUACUGAACUACAUCCCCAACCCCUUAAAAAAAUUUUUUUUUUUGAGACAGGGUAUCAUUAAGUUGCUGAGGCUUCUUGAAUUUUCCAUCCUCCUGUCUCGGCCUAGGUUGACUUGGGUCCAACUUGACUUGAUGUUACUACUCAUCUCUGAUGAGGAUUAACUCUCAACUUUGUGAUAGUGGGUAGGGUGGAACCUGAGGAUGGUGGUGACUCAGAACUGCAAAGAUUAGGGGAGAUGAUGGGCUGGGGUUGUGGCUCAGCGGUAGAUCGCUCACUUGCCUAGCACAUGCGAGACCCUGGGUUCGAUUCUUAGCACCUCAUAAAAAUAAAAUAAAGAUAUUGUGUCCAUCUAUAACUAAAGAAAAGAAUGAAAUAUUAAAAAAAAAAAGAUUAGGGAAGAUGAGUUCUGACAAAGAUCAGCACACAGAGUUGACUGAUUUGUUUCAUUUUCCUACUGAUACUACUAUAGCCUUAAGAAAUUUUUUGAGUAUGGGAUUAGUGUUUCCUUGUUUUUAGCAAGUGUUUAACAGGAAUUUAUUUAUUUAUUUAUGUGGUAUCAGAGAUUGAACCCAAAAAUGCUUAACCACUGAGUCACAUCCCUGGCCUUUUUUAUUUUUUAUUUUAAGACAGGGUAUCACUAGGUCACUAAGUUGCUCACAGCCUCCCUAAAUUGCUGAGACUGGCUUCAAACCUGAGAUCCUCCUGCCUCAGCCUCCUGAGCCUCGGAGAUUACAGGUGUGUCCUACCACACUUGGCCUUUAAUAGGAAUUUACUCUGUACUAAGUGUGGUAUCUGUUUAGUUGAAACAUAGGAACACUUUUGAUUUGAUGGAAAAGCUUUUUAUUUCUUCAGCAUAUCAUUUAUGUUGCUAAAGAUUUAAUUAUUUUGAAUUUAUAGUUGACAUAGUGCCCUAAAGCUGGAUGCUAUGGUGCAUGCCCAUAAUCCCAGUAACUCAAGAGACUGAGGCAAGAGGAUUGCAAGUUUGAGGCCAGCCACAGCAGUUUAGCAAGGCCCUAAGCAAUUUAGUGAGACUCAGUCUCAAAAAAGUAAAAUAAAAAGGACUGGGUAGCUCAGAGGUAAAGCACUCUUGGGUUCAAUCCCUGGUGCCACACACACACACACACACAAAAAAAAAAAAAAAUAGAAAAAAAGGAAGAAGAAAAAAAGAAACAUUGUAUUAAAUUGGGAACAUUUCAUUAUUUGGGAAAGUGAUUAUUUAGGAAUGCCAGCAUAAAUGAAAAAUAAAUAUUGCCAGAAUCAAAUUUGGCUGUACAUGAUAUGGGCCUUAGUGAGAACCCUUUUUUUUUUUUUUUUUUUUGUGGUACUGAGGAUAAACCCAGGAGCACCUUACCACUAAGCUACGUCCUAAGCCAUUUCCAGUUUUCAUUUUGAGACAGGAUCUCACUUAUUUGUCCAGGCUGGCUUUGAACUUGUAGUCCUCCUACCUUUGUCUCCUGAAUUGCUGGGAUUAUAGGAAUGAGCCAUCAUACCUGGUUGUACCUUGAUUUAUAUAUUCCAGUAACAGAGGUGUCAGCCAAUAUUGAUGUGCUGUUCUGGUAAUAACCAGUUCUUGUAUGGCUCUUUUUUUUGGUAUGGAAGGGAGAUACUGGGGAUUGAACUCAGGGGCACUUAACCACAAAGCCACAUCCCCAGUUCUUUUUUGUAUUUUGUUUAGAGACAGGGUCUUGCUAAGUACUUAGCACCUCACCAUUGCUGAGGCUGACUUUGAACUCUCCAUCCUCCUGCCUCAGCCUCCUGAGCCAUUGGGAUAACAGGUAUGCGCCAUCCACCCAACUUGUAUAGCUCUUAUAGUUAUCAAUAAGUACUUUUGCCCACUUCCUUUCACUUGUACCUCAAAGUCAUGUAAAGGUCAUUUUUAUUCAGUGAUCCUUUAUAAAAUAGAUUUUUUUUGUCCUAGAUCUUGAGAAACCAAAGAAAGGACAAUGACUGUGACUUCAGGUAACACAGAUAACAUUGGGAAUAUACAACCAGGAAUAAAAAUGUGAGACAGUGAUUAGAGAGGGAGACUGAAAAUUAGGUGUAAUGAUAGAUAGUGAUGGCAUCCAUAAUCUUUGUUAUAUUUUUGGUCAAGGAAGAAUUGGUGUGUCUUCCACCAUUUUGAAAUUAUACUUCACAAUUUACAUAGCCCAUAUGAUGUACUUUUGAAAAUUAUAUUACAUUUUCUAUGGUUAUAGUUUUUUCCCUCUGAAAAAUCUGGAUGACAUGUUAGAGUGUUCAGUUUAGGUCAGCUUCCUUAAUGCUGUUUGUAGAAGGAUUACUUCCGUGCCACAAUUUGGCCUUUUUGCAUCCAUAAUGCAGAUUUGUUUAUUAGAAAUAUAGCUUUUUAGGUUUUUGCUGUUAAAUCUGAAAAAGAUGAAGAGAAAUAAAACAUGACAAAUCUAGAGGAGUGUGCUGUUCGACAUGUAAAAAAAAAUCCCCAUGUCAACAAAAACAGAAGCUCUUGAAAUGAAGAACAGAAAAGUCAGUGAUUAUUCUUAUUAUCUGUGAUUAUUAUCAUUAUUAUGUCCACUUGGGUGUUGAAGUGAUCAGGAUAUCAAUGAUAGAAUUAAAUGAAAAUGUACUUUUAAAAUUUGAAAAACAGAGAAACCAUUGCUUUUCAAUAUCUGUUAUAUACUCAAAAAAGUUUGCUUUUGUCAGGUAAGCAUUCAUGUUGAAUACAUAGUCCAUUUGUAUUAAUUACACUGAUAAAAUUAUGUAUGGCAAAGGAAAUCCAAAUUUUCUGCAGAGUCUUUUGUGGAUUUUGUAGAAUCCCUCAUUUCAUAUGAAUUUGACCCUAUAAACACUGUAAUAAAAGCUUUCUUAGGGGUUAGUUUUCUUUUGGAAUGGUAUCCCUUUAUUUUUAUACUUGAUUCCAACAGAAAACCUCUACCCAAUAUAAUAAUGAAAUGAUUUCAAUUUGUUUUUGUUGUUGUUGUUUUUGGGGUGCUGGCAAUUAAACCCAAGACUUACAUGUGUGCUAGGCAAGUGCUCUGCUGCUGAGCUACACCUCUAGCCCAAUGGAAUGAUUUUUAAGCAAUGUUACUAUCUUAUCAGGGAAAGCUAGCCUCCACGAGAAUCCUGAGACUCCGCCAUCUCCUCACCAUUGCCAAAUCAAUAUUUUUCAUUAGUACUGGUCUUUGGAUUGUAUAUUUGCACUGUAACAACACAUUACAGAUGGAUGCAUAUAUUAAAAUGGCCUAGUAAUCCUCUCUGUUUUUUUUUUUUAUGGAAUUAAGAUGUAGAUUUUAUCAGUGACUAACCACGAUCCCGCAUGUGAAACACUGUAAGAUACUUGAUAAUUUUUGGAAAAUUUCAAAUUGGUUGGAUAAUUUGAUCUCCUUUUGUGUGUGUGUGUGUGUGUGCGCUCGCGUGCGUGCAUGCAGGUUUUGGGGAUGAAAGUGUCAUUCUGUAGUUGAAAGAAUGGAAUUUUUGUAAUCAAAGUGAUUUUGGUUGAAAUCCUUGCCCUAUCACUGAUACCUUUCAGUGUGUAACUGAACCUCUCUGAAUUUAAAUGUCUUCACUAGUAAAAAGGAACCAAUAUUACUUUAUAGGUUCUUAUGAAAAUUAAAUUAAGCCUUAACAUGAUGUCUAGCAUAUAUUAAAUUAAAUUAUUCUAUUUUCAGUAAUACAAAGAUAUAGAGUAAUAUUUAGUACAUUUCAUUUGCAGCUCAAAGGUUCAUAAACUCAAUAAAGAUGAGUUUCCUCCCAAUAGUAAUUUCCCAUUGUUAUAUAGAGUAAUUUUGAUAAAAACAUUGCUAUAUAAAUUAUUGGAAUUGUUGUUAACAUUUGAUCACCAGUGGAAAUGUAAACAUUAUUGCAUUCUGGUUUUAUUUAUUUAUUUAUUUUUUAGUUAUAGACACAAUGCCUGUAUUUUAUUUAUUUUUAUUUGGUGCUGAGGAUUGAACCCAGUACCUCACAUGUGCUAGGCGAGUGCUCUACCACUGAACCACAACCCCAGCCCCUGUUUUUUAGUUUUAUUGUUAGUGUCUUCUCCUCCUCCUCCUCCUCCUUCU
This 6292-nucleotide long non-coding RNA is filed under the name Marmota monax (woodchuck). Lineage: Eukaryota; Metazoa; Chordata; Mammalia; Rodentia; Sciuridae. The record is from RNAcentral.